This 16027-nucleotide long non-coding RNA is filed under the name Marmota monax (woodchuck). The stretch from base 14536 to 14604 matches the Rfam family "tRNA". Lineage: Eukaryota; Metazoa; Chordata; Mammalia; Rodentia; Sciuridae. The record is from RNAcentral.
ACUGUUGAGGGAACUGUGCCUUCCAGAAACGGAACUCUUACUGGGCUAGACUGGGGUGCAGCUGUCUAAAGCCACACACACACACACACACACACACACACACACACACACACACACGGUCUUGGCUUUGCAGAGCUUUUGGAGCAUCCAGUCUGCAUGUGCUUUGCAUGAAGCGAAGACCAAACAAGAUGCAGCCUGAUUCGGGAGGUGGCUGGGGAUGGAAGGAUGGCGUUGUCUCAUUGCUGAUCUGCCUUUUUGCUCACGUGCAACUUCCCCAGAACCGGGCAGGAGGUUUCUGAACCUCAUUCUUCACUUUCCAAACCUCAUUCUGAAACCAGCCCUUUCUGAGCUGUCCGCCCCCGCCCAGGGGAAGAGAGGUCUUCUAAUUUUAAGUUCAACGAUCAAGGGAAAUGGGUGAGUUUUGGAACCCAGAGGGAAGGUUUUGAUAUGCUGUCUCAUCAAAAGGUUAAAAUGCACACACACACGCACACGCGGUCAAGGAAAAAAUUUUUUAACAAUAUUAAAGGGAAAAUAGUGAGAAGUAAAGGUCUCUCCCACCUAGAUACCAUAGACCUGCUAUUCGCAGCAAUCUGCCAAAGCACAGGCGCUUACACACACCUGUGUGUCACUCUUGAUGUGUGUCCCCUGGUUUCCCCCAUGCUGUCCCCAACCUGCACCUUUUAAAAAUAUAUACACGAUGGCUCAUUUCCGAGGACGGGACACGCUGCUUUGCCCGGGACUUGUCCAUUUACCCUCCUGCCCGUCAGACCUGGUGUUAUUUCUAGUGAGCCCUCAGGAUGCUCUUUAGGAGGACCGGCAGGGAGACUGUAGGGAGUGCUGACUGUGUUCGGGGCCCGGGCCUAAAUGCUUUUAUACCUAUUUAACACAUGUUGUAUCUUCCUGUCUCAUUGCAGGGCUGGAGUUGCUUAAGUGGGAUUGCCGAAUCCAUGGGGUACGUUUGUCUUGCCGAUCGGGGUCACCUCACAGGGUGACAUGGUCCCCACGUCACACUUGGACAUCUGUGGUAUUUUCACCUUGAAGGCCCAUGACAGGCUAGACCUUGUGGACUCUGUGUGCUCCCUCGCGUCUGCCAGGCCCCCUGCAGAUCCCCCUUCCAUUGAGACCAUGCUGGGGCCACCUCUGAGACAGUCCCGAGGUAAGACAAAAGCAAAAGUGUCCCCAAAUGGGGCAUUUCUUAGAAAUGCAGAGAAAGCUCUCAUUUUCAUUAUUGCAAUUUACAUACAACUCAGAUGCUCCAAAUUUCCUAGGUGGCUAAUUGAGCUGCUCUUCCCAUUUGUUACUGAUUUCUCAGAAAUGCGAGAUACCAUCGUUCUAGCCAAACCCCAAUUUGAAGAAGCAAGCAGUGGUUUCUCUGUACCGAGUCAUCCAACUUCUGUGGGAAGACCUAGUUGCUUUUCUUAUUUUAAAAUGUCUCCUUCAUGCUGGGUGCGGUGGUGUGCGCCUGUAAUCCCAGCGGCUUGGGAGGCUGAGGCAGGAGGAUCGUGAGUUCAAAGCCAGCCUCAGCAAAUAAGCAAGGCACCGAACAACUCAGUGAGAUCCUGUCUCUAAAUAAAAUACAAAAUGGGGCUGGGGAUGUGGCUCAGUGGUUGAGUGCCCCUGAGUUCAAUCCCCAGUACAAAAAAAAAAUUCCUUUAUUACUUUUGAUUAUAUGAAAAAUUCAAAACUUAGAGUAAGGUGAAAAAGGAAAUAAAGUGAAUACCCACAGAUCCUCCACCUGGGCUUGAUGAGUCUACUCAUUGGGUCUAUGAUCCACAUCUGCCUCUACAGAGACCUUCUACUGGGCACAGCAGUGCAUACAUCUGUAAUCCCAGCAACAUGGGAGGCUGAGGCAGGAGGAUGGAAAGUUUGGAGGCCAGCCUCAGCAAUUUAAAUAAACAUUAAAAAGGACUGAGGAGCAACUGUGUUUCAUGUUCAGUUUUCAUGUUGCUCAGUGGUAGAGUGCCCUCCGUUCAAUCCCCACACACACACACACAAAAAAAAAAAAAGAAAAUGAACAUUUCCUUACAUAGACUAUCAUUACCACACCCAAGACCGUCCACCAUAAUUCAAUAACAUCACCUGAUAUCUAGCCCAAUAUAUAAAUGUCUCCAAUUGUCCUGAGUUUUCCUGGCUGCUUAGUUUUGAAUCAGGAUCCAAUUGAGGGUUAUGCAUUACGUUUUCUAUCGUCUUUUUUUUAAUCAUUAGCUAUUUAUUUUUAGGUGGUGCUGAGGAUUGAACCCAGGGCCUCACAGGCGUGAGGCAAGUGCUUUGACCACUGAGCCCCAGCCCUCUCUUGUCUUCGAGGCACCUGGAGUGGUUUUCUAUUCUCUUCUUUUUUCCUUUAGACCCAAAAGCAAGCCUCCAACUGACCAUGGAUUGAGACCUCUGAAACUGUGGGCCAAAACAAACCUUUCAUUCUUUUAAAGUUGCUUAUCUUGGGUGCAGCGGUGUAAUCCCGUAAUCCCCAGAGGCUCGGAAGGCUGAGGGGUUGGAAAGGUGGUGACGUGAUUUGACCCUGACCUGACUGAGAAGCUCGGCUGUGGUCUUACAAAAAAGGUCCACGUCUGGUCUUUCUCUCUUCUCCUGGUGGUGCUGAGUUUGUUCCUCUGUCUUCUGAGCAAUACCAGGGUGCACAGGGUCACCUUUCCCCAUCACAGGGGUGCUUCAUUAGAUCAUUGGUUAAGGUGGCGGUACCAGGAGCACUUUGUAAUCAGGGACACCAAUUCUUGGGCACCUGGUCCACAGAUGAAAAGACAGUCUUUCUGUUGACAACUUUAGCAUCGUUCAUGGUCCUUGACUGAAACAGACAUCACACUCGCGAGCUGGUGACUUUUUAAACCUGUCAUUCCUUCUACGUUCUUGUUUUAGGGACAAACGAGGCAAGGCACCGAGGACAGCAGGAAACAGUUUUUAUUUGGCUGCAGCCAGGUUCAGAGGGCACAGCCUUUGCUGUAAUCAAUCAAUCCCCUGAACCCCGAGUUCAGGGAGUUUCAGAGUUUUAUACCCAGCAUGUAAGGGGAGGGGCUCAGAAGUUCACAGUCUGCAGAAGUUCAUAUAAAAGCAGCUUUUUCUUUCACUGUUCUGGGCAAGUUAACCCUUCAAGGACAACACCUGAGAAGGGGAGAGCUUCUUCUCCCCUUUCUUUCCUCCCCCUGCCAGCUGUUACCAUGGAGCCCAAUUGGUCACUUCUCUUAUCUUAAAAAUGUAGACAUCUCUGUGAAGCCCAGCUCAAGGCCAGAAGCCUUGUUUGCACAUUUCUACAAAGUACUAUACUGGAUACGUUUGUGAAAAACUAGUAAGGGGGUGCUCAGCACCUGGAGUGCUGGUAUCUUCCUGGCCAGUGGCCAAGUAAAACAGGGUGACACGAAAAUAGGAAGUUUAUCUACAUUGAAUUCUUUUGCAGAGACUCUUUUGCUGACAGUCCUAAAAUCAGCCAUGAUGAAGAGGGCUUUUCAGUGGAGAAAGGGGGUGCCACUACAUUCUUAGUGGGUGCUCUCUGUAAAGGAGAGUAUACUUUUAUGCUAUGCUUUUUUUAAAAAAAAAUUCUUUUAGUUGUAGAUGAACACAAUAUCUUUAUUUUAUUUAGUUUUAUAUGGUGCUAAGGAUCAAACCCAGGGUUUGUGCUAGGCAAGUGCUCUAUCCCUGAGCUACCAUGCCAGCCCUUAUGCUAUAUUUUUUUAGAUAAGUGUCCCCAAAGGCCCCUGUGUCAAAGGCUUGGCCCUCAGCCCAUGGUGCCAUGGGGAGAUGGUGGAACCUUUAUGAUGUGGGGGUGUCCUUGAAGGGGAUGGUUGGAUUCUGGCCCCUUCCUCUCUCUUUCUGCUUCUGGGUGCCAGGAUGUGAGCACUCUAUUUGCCACUGAGCCCCAGAGCAAAGGGACCAGGUAGCCAUGUCCUGGAACCUCUGCCACCCUGAGUCAUGUUUACAAAACCUUUCCUCUUUUUAAGUUGAUGAGCUCAAGCAGGUUAUUAUAGUAAUCGGCAGCUAACACAUUUUUGUCUCUCCCUUUUGAAAACAAAUAUGCAGAAAACGACUAUGAGUAAUAUCCCAAACACCCAGACUUUCACCCCCCGAAAUAUGUGUUAAAAUGUUGGCAUAUUCACCUUGGAAAAUUUUUUAAGAAAGAUGACCAUAAAUGCUCUGAAAUCACCCACCCCUGCCCUUUCCCACCUCGUCCCCUCUGCUGAAGUAACUGGUGUCAUAAAUGUGGCACCUACUUCUAAGCCCAUUUUAAUAUUUUUUAUAAAAAUAUCUUUUUCUAUGAAUAAUACUAGAGAUAGCAUUAUUUUGCUUGAGGUUUUUUUUCCCACUUUAUUUAUUUAUUUUUGCAUUACAAUUCAUUUUUUAAAUUUUUUUAUUUUUUUAGUUUUGAGUGGACACAAUAUCUUUUAUUUUUAUGUGGUGCUAAGAAUCAAACCCAGUGCCUCAUGCAUGCCAGCCAAGCGCACUACCAUUUGAGUCAUAGCCCCAGACCCUGCAUUACAAUUCUUUUUUUUUUUCCUUAGGUGUAGAUGGACACAACACAAUGCCUUUAUUUUUUUAUGUGGUGCUGAAGAUCCAACCCAGGUCUCACCCGUGCUAGGAGAGAGCCCUACCACUGAGCCACAAUCCAAGCCCUGCAUUACAAUUCUUAAUACACCAUUAUACCAUAAUUUAUCAUAUCUCUGAUUAUAUAUAAGGUAUGUUGACACCAAAUUCACAUCUUCAUACAUGUAUUUUGUAUAGUGAUGAGGGUCUCCUUUCACCAUCCAUGCUAUUCCCCUUCUCCCUCCCUUUCCCUCCCACCCCUAUUCCCUAUCUAGAGGUAAUCCUCCUCUCUUGCUCUCCCUCCCUAUCCCAUUUUGAGUCACUCCCCUUAUAUCAGAGAAGACAUUCAGCAUUUGUUUUUCUGGGAUUGGCUAACUUCACUUAGCAUCAUCUUCUCUAAUGCCAUCCAUUUCCCUGCAAAUGCCAUGAUCUUAUUCUUUUUUAGUGCUGAGUAAUAUUCCAUUGUGUAUAAAUGCCACAUUUUUUUUUUGCCCUUUGCAAUGUUGGAGGUCUAGCCCAGUGCCUUGCACGUUAGGCAAGUGCUCUUCCACUGAGCUACAUCCCCACCCCACCUUAGUAUUUUGUAUAGAAACAGAUUCUGCAUAUAUCACUAGGCCUCUUCCUCUUCCUACCCAACACUGUGGAGAUCAAUUCAUAUUAAUUCAUAUGUAGCCAGCUUGUUCCUUUAACUGUGGGAUGAGAUUCCACCCUUACCUCUCUAUGGAGGAACAUUUGAGUUGGGGGGUCUGCAUCUUUCCAGUCUCACUAGAUAAGACCCAAAUGACCACGCUAAUGUACACUUCCACUAGCCAGGUAUAACGGUCCUUGGUCCCCCAUAUCUUCGUCUGCAUAGGGAGAGUAUAAGAUUAUUAACUGUUUGCCCAACUAGUAGGUGAGAGCUGGUGUCUUUUGUUGCUUUAAUUUGUAUGUCCUGACCACACUGGGCACACUUGACAGACCUUAUUUAAUCCUCUCAGAAUUUCGUUCGUGAUCAUUCCCAUUGUGCUGAAGAGGAGACUGAGGGUCAGAGAGGUACAAUGAUUGUCUAAGGUCUUAGAGGCCCCCAAAGCCUUGGGUCUAUACAGCAUUGCUUCUCCAUACUCUUCCCACAUGGCCAGAUGGCUCCUAGAGAGAUGGACAGGUUCUAAAGCCCCUGCAAGGCUUUUAGCAGAGAAGUCAUUUGUUAAUCAAAAAAAAAAAUGCAGCUUUGCAAAUAAUUUUUAGGCCACCAGGACUUCUGGGUCAGGAGACACAGAGGGCAGUCGAAAGUGUUCAUUCUUACCGCCGCUCAGGACGGAGGGGUGGUGGGUUGGUAGUCGCCAAGCUUCUCCUGGCUUGGGGGUUGAUUGUAGCCAGGGUGGGUGGUUUGGAUGGGGACCGGAGCUACCAGAUUGAACGUUCUGGAAACUUUUAGAUCUUAAGGUAAGAGAAAAAGAACCUUUUUUUCUGCUUCUCUCUCUCUCUCUCUCUCUCUCUCUCUCUUUUAUUGAAGUCCUCUGAAAAAAGAAGUGACUUACAGGUGGACCAACCUUCAGGACUCCCGUUUUGGGGAAUUUGGGGGCUCUGGGCUGUUCGAGGUCACCCAAGUAUCUGAUUUGUCCUUAGAACCCAGCGAAGUAUUCAUUACACGACAUCCACUUCACCGACGCUCGUGAAGUGAAUAAAUAAAUUUAAAGAAGUUUGGAAAUGAAAAGCAAAACCCACAAACCCCCACAUUCUGGUUCCUUUGGGGGCUGCUGGUGGAGCUUAACAGAUUCGAGAAAGGUCCUCAGUGAGAAGAAGGGGCCUGGCUUUGGGGAGGCUGUCAGGGAGUCACUCAGGGAGCUGUCAGCCUUCAGCCUUGUCAGCCUCCAGCCUCGUCAGCCUCCAGCCUCGCAGACCAGACUCCCUGAUGGCCUCCCAGAUGCCCCCCCCCCCCCGGGGGGGAGAUACACAAAAGCUUAGAACAGCAUGGGGCCGGCCCCACACAGCCUCCAGUCUCUCCAGGUCCCCUCUGUUGUAAGUCAUCCUGAAAACAAGCCAGGGGACCUCCUGGGGACAUUCCCACCCCCAGAGCCUUCGCCCUGACGUUCCCUUUCAGCCUCAGGCUUUUUGCAUGACCGAGUCUCAGCUCCAACAUCACCUCCAACUCCAGGUGUUGACCACCUCCUCUGUGCCACCACAAAUGCGAUUUUAUUGUUCAUUUAUUUAUUGUGGUGCUGGGUCUUGAACCCAGGGCCUUGUGCAUGAUGGGCAAGUGUUUCUACCACUGAGCUCCCAGCCCCACAAAUUGGAUUUUAAAUAACUCCCUCUUUGGAGUAAGGGAGAUGUUCCCAGGAGGUUAGAAAGACUGAGCAUUUUAAGUUGUUGAUGGACCUUUAUUUAUUUUUAUGUGGUGCUGAGAAUCGAACCCAGUGCCUCACACAUGCCAGGCAAGUGCUCUACCACGGAGCCCCAGCCCCAGCCCAAGGCUGAGCCUUGAAACCCAGGAUGUGGUGGGGCUGAGAUUUGCUCCCCCAGAUCUCUGACCCCAGUUCUCCUGCCCGGGGACCCCUGUGCCCUGAGAGACUUGGUCAGACAAGGCUGUGAAGCAGAGAUCUACACCCACCAAGUGCACAAACAUUGAGCGCCUACUGUGUGUGGGCAGCUUCUAAAGUCCAGGUGAAGGACUAUCCAGGAAGUCAGAGGCACUUGUGGAGUGCAAUUAGCAUCUUGAUGAAAUAGGAAAAAAAGAUCCAAGGGCUAGGGGGCAGGCAGCAAGGAAGGGGGCGGUGCUUACUGAACAAAGGGAUGUUUAAAAUGUCCUUGUGUCUUGGCACAGAGAAGGCCCCCCAAGCAAUAUCUGAAUUGAAUCCAAUUGGAUCCAGUCAAUGCCCUGCUUGGGGAAAAACCAAAAAAUGGUUUCUGGCCUCACGGAAACAUUCCCUGUGAGGCGGAGGAGAAGGGCGAAUCUCCUGUGGGGGUUAGCAAACCAAAGCAACAGAUGCAUUUUAAAUAAGGCAGACCCGCAGCUCUCAGGUUGCAGAAGUUUUGGCUAAAAGAGAAACACCCACUUGUAUGUUGCAGGAUUUGAGCUUAAUCACCUGCUACUAUUGAAGGCUAAUCUCCACUUUCCAGAUAAAUGGAGGGUUGGCUCUGUUACAGAAGGCUAAACCAGCUCUGGGGGCCCCUGAACUCCACAAAGGGGCUGAUCUGGUUGUCUGAGCUCUGGAUCCAAAGUGGUAAAGGAUGCUUUGUCCCAGGAUAGAAACAGUGAAAUCCUGUUCCAGGUUGCCCACCAGGAACCAGCAACUUGACUUGUUUUUUUUUUUUUUUUUUUUUACUUGAAUGUUGUAUUACUCAGCUUACUGUUACUGUAACAAAAUGCCUGAGGUGAUCCGAUUUUUUAAAAAAUGGUUUAUUUGGGUUCACAGUUCUGGAGCAUUCAGUCUUUGACAGGUUGAGCCUGUUGCUUUGGGCACAGUACAUCAUGGCCCGCAUGCAGGUUGGAAGAAAUCUGUUUACAUCAUGGUGGCUGGGAAACAGAGACAGAGGAAGGGGUUGGGGUCCCAAUAUCCCCUAAAAGGACACAUCCCCACCAGUGACCUAACUUUCUUCUACUAGACGCCCCCAACCUCCUAAAGGUUUUGCCACCUCCCCAUAGUGCUAGACGCUUCAAGCUGGUGACUUCAAGCUUAUCACACAUGGUCCAUUGGGAGACCUUCAAGGUCUAGAACUCUAAGUCCCUAACAUGCAAUCACCCUAACAGAGCCGUGGGGUGGGUGCGAGUGUCGGGCCCCACUCUAGAGAGAGGAAAAUGAGACUCAGACCAAAUCAGCUAAAAACCACAAUCACCUAACAGAGGUCUCAGGCUGACUCCUGUGGUUUCUGUUUCUCACAAUCAACUGCAGCUCGAAAAUAUCAGAUGGAAAAUUCCAGAGGCCAACAAUUCCUAAGUUUUAUUUCUUAAAAAAAAAAAAACAAAUUUGUUACUAUUUAUAACAAAGCAUCCAACUAUUUAUGACUAUGAUAACUAUUUAUCACAUAGCUGGCCUACUCCUCUACCUACCCCUCUUUCCCAUUGGGACUUUGAAACACACAUCUAAUGAAAGAUCCUUCCUUAGGUCCUUUCCUCUCUCUUCAUCCUGUUAAGUCAGUCUUUGAAGGAGGAACGGAGAAGAGAGACUAAAAACAAACUACGAGGCUCACAGAGAAUUCAAAGUCACAUUGUCUUGAGUUUUGAACCAUCUUGUGACUGAAAGAAUGGUAUGUCUGGGAGAUAUUUAGAAAGACCUUUCUGGGCAGAGCCGAAUUUAGAUCAUCUUCCAAGUACCUUCUCAGGGUAAUGACUUCAUCUAAGGCACACAAAAAUUACCCAGUUGCAAUUCACCAAGCGACUAUGAAAUAUCUACUCCAGAGCCUCAAAUAAGGAAGGAAUCAAUCCUUGUUUUUAUAAAGGCAUUAAGGGAAUUAGUUGUUUGUAGCAAUUAAGGGCACUUUUGCACUUUGGGCUUUUAUCUUAAAAACACAAUUCUAGCUGGGUGUUGUGGGACACACCUGUAAUCCCAGCCGCUGGGGAGGCUGAGGCAGGAGGAUGGUGGAUUCAGAGCCAGCCUCCACAAAAGCGAGCUUAACCCCUGAGCCACAUCCCCAGCCUUUUUUUUUUUUAUGUUUUCUUUUGAGACAGGGCCUCACUAAGUUGCUGAGGCUGGCCUUGAACCUGAAAUCCUUGUGCCUCAGCCUCCUGAGCCACUGGGAUUAUUACACAGACCUGGGCCACCGCGCCCGUCAGGCCUCUUGUUCAAAUAUAUCAUUGGGUCCAAAGAACUAAGUAAGCUCCUUCAUUUGAGGACGGUUCAAUGUAAGAGUUGUUUUUCAUUCUCCAAUUUAUCUUUUCCCUCUGAAUCUCGAAGUUGAGGUUUUUUCCGUGCAGUUCUCGAGGGAGUUCCGGAAGGGCAUCCUGCAGACGUAUUUGCAUGGACCUCUAUUUCCAUUUUUUUGGUUCACCUUCUGGGAAAUUUUCAAUUUCUGUUUCUCGAACGGGCCCAUCCUCUUUACCUUCCUGUAAAUUCAGUUCGACUUCUCUAGGGUGACUCAAUAUCACUUUCGCAUAGGCCAGGAGGCACCAGCCCGCUCCACCCAGUCUUCUUUGAUCAGAAAGCGAUCACCUGCCAUUCAUCUGAUGACCUCCAACCCAGACGUUUUUCAAUCAGGGGCCACAUUCUGAGUAGUGCCCCAGGAUCUCAUGCCAGGCCGCUUCAUCCUGCCAGAGGCAUGGAUCAUCACCGCUCUGCCCCUUACUCUGUAGCGUCCCCUGUUGACAGCUGGACCUGCCAAGGUGUCACAGUGCCUGGGUUCCAGUCAUUGUUACGCAGCAGCCUAAGGUGACCUCACAAUGCCUGGUCCCCGACCCCACUUCAUCUCUUCAUGUGGACCCUGGAUCCUCUCAUGAGCAGGGCGGACCCAGUCCAGGAAAUUAUUUUGAGAGAGAGGGGAACUGUACUCAUAUAACUUUUAUGGCCACAUAUGGUUAUGAUUAUUCUAUUUUUUUUUUUUUUAGUUAUUGUUCAUUUCUUCCUGUGCUGAUAUAUAAAUGAAACUUUAUCACAGGUAGGGGUAUGGUAGCUUUUCAUUAGGGUGGCCAAAAUAUCUGAUAAGAACAAAUUAGAAGACAAAAGAUGGGUGCACAGGGUCAGAGGACACUCCCAGUAGUCCAGUGGACUAUCAAUGGAUAGCUCAAUGGGGUCAGAACCCCCAGGAACCAAUCAGGGCCUGAAAGUCUCACCCUUGAACCUGGUUUUUGUUUUGGGGGACCGGGAAUUCCACAUCCUGGCCUUUGGGGAAACAUUCCCAUUGGGAAAAAACAUAGUAAAUGUAAGGGUCAGUAGUGUCUGUGAUUUGUGGCAUUCCCUGGGGGAUCUUGGAAUGUGCCCCCUGGAUGGGGGAGGGGCUCUCCUGUAAAUGACACCAUCCUUUACUGAAUGGCUGAAGCCAGAAAUCUAGGGUUGACCCUCCAUUCUUUCCUAUCCUUGCUCCCACAUCUUACUCAUCACCAAUUUGCCCGUUCUACCUUCCAAAACUCAGAACAUAACUCCACGUAGCUACAUCUCUCGCAUCCCCACUGUCCCGUAGCUCCCUUUAUCUCUGCUGAGUCACUAACUGGUCUGCAAUCCCCACUCACGCUCCCCCAGCAGCCCCAGGAGAUCUCCAACGUAAACCUCGGUGUCAGCCCUCACAGGAAGCUCUCCGAUGGCUUCUUAGGGUUCCUACCUACUAUAUAAAAAAUUUAUAUAGUAUUAUAUAUUAUAUAAAUUUUUUUCUUUUUAUCUUCCAUUCCUUUACAUCUCCCUUCAGCUGUAUCUAAUCACUUCUGCAACAUAUGUUGGCAGUUCUUAAUUUCAAUUACUGAAUCGUUCAGGUGGACAAUUUCCAAUCAAUGUCCUCACCUUUUGUGGGUCAUUUAUUUUCUUUUCUUUUUUUUGUUAAGAAUUUUUUUAAAAAUAUUUAUUUAUUUAUUUUUAGUUUUCAGCGGACACAACAUCUUUUUGUAUGUAUGUGGUGCUGAGGAUCGAACCCGGGCCGCACGCAUGCCAGGCGAGCACGCUACUGCUUGAGCCACAUCCCCAGCCCGAGUCAUUUAUUUUCUUCCAGUAUUUUACCUUCUUUUUUUUUUUCUUUUUCAAUAACAGACUUUGUGUUUUUUAGAGUACAUUUAGCUUUGCAGUUAAAGAGAAUCUCUGUUGCACCCAAACAUGACCUGCCCAUUAUCAACAUCCUACACCAAAGUGGCACAUUUUUUUUUUGUUACAAUCAAUGAACCGACAUUAAUGCAUCAUUAUACCCUGAAGUUCGAAAUUGACAUUAUGAUUCGCUCUUGAUGAACUCACUCUAUAGGGUGGCGUGCAUACUGACAAGUACCUAUUAUUAUGUACCAUAUAAAUAGUUUCACUGCCCUAACAAUCUUCUGUGCCCUCCUCGUUCACCCCUCACUCCCGUCUAACCCCUGGUCAUCUUAACUAAUCUCUUUUGUGGGGCACCAGGGAUUCAACCCAAGGGUGCUUCACCACUGAGCCACAUCCCCAGCCCCCCUUUUAUUGUUAUAUUUUGAGACAGGGGAAUCACUAAGUUGGCGUAGGGCCUCACUAAGUUGCUGAGGCCGGCUUUGAACUUGCAAUCUUCCUGCCUCAGCCUCCCGAGCCACUGGGUUACAGGUGUGCCCCACUGUGCCCUGCAAUCACCGAUCUUUUCAUUGUCUCUAUAGUUUUGCCUUUUCUAGAAUAUCAGGCGGUUGAAAUCGUACAACAUAUAGCCUUUUCAUAUUGGCUUCUUUCACUUAGUAAAAGGCAUUUAAGGGGCUGGAAUUGUGGCUCAGUGGUAAAGCGUCUGCCUAGCACAUAUCAGGUAUUGGCUUCCUUUCUGAGCACCAUAUAUAAAUAAAUGAAUAAAAUAAAGGUCCAUCAACAUCUAAAACAAUUUUUUUUACAAAGGCAUUAAGUUUCCUCCAUGUCUUUUUAAUUUUGUCCAGCGAUUCUAUUGUUCUCAGCAGGAGGAAUGGUCUCAAAUAAUCCAGCCUCCUUGUGUGGUUAGACAGCGUUCUGUUACUAUAACAGAAUGCCUGGAAUAGUCGGCUUUAUGGAGAAAAGGUGUAUUUUGGCCCACAGUUUGGGUCCAUGGUCAAUUGGCCCCAUACUGUUAGGCCUGUGGUGGCAGCAAUCCUGGCAGAAGGAGGUGGUGGGGCAGGCCAUACCCUUCAGGACUGGGCUGCAAAGAAGAGAAAGAAAAUGAGACCGAGGGUCCCAUAAUCUCUUUCAAGGGCACAGCCUCCACCCACCCACCCCAAAAAAUCUAAACCAUCCCAUUAGGCUCUACCUCUUAAAAUUUCUCCCAUGUCCUAUUAGCACCAUUCUGGGGGAAAAGCUUUUAACUCAUGGGCUUUUGGGGCGUACAUUUCAAAUCCAAUCUACAGCACUGCUGUGGCUGGAAACCUCCCAUUAUCUUCAGAGGAGAGGAAAACUUCCUGUCCUGCCAAUUGCGGGAUGGGUGAUUUGGAUAGUGCCUAGCCCUCCAGGUUCACACCACACUCCCCUUGGAUCUUGGCACUGCAGUAGGAUGCUGGGCUUUUCCAUGUACCUCAAAUAUGCCAAGCUCCUUCCUACCCCAGGGACUUUGCAUGUGGUCCCCACCCCCUCCAUCUGGAAUGUUCUUUCUUUACCUCAUCCUCUGGGUCUCAGUUUAGAUGUUACUUCCUCCGAGUGACCUUUCCUGACUGGUCCAGUUUGAAGUGUCCUCCAAAGGCUCAUGCAACAAUAAAGGACCAUUAGAGAAUCUUCUUGGUGGGCUGACAUGGCCUGAUUUACAUCUGAGAUCCCUGCAGGUCUUGGGGGAGGGGGGGUGAUGGUCAUAGACACGUUCAUGAUCCUGCAGGGAUAAUGGGUGCUCGAGGGACAGGGACAAGAGAGGGGACGGGAGAGAAAGAGCCACACUGAGUAUGUUCAGGAUUAUGACAAUAUACUGUAGUAAAUGUUAUAUGAAUAUGGUCCCUCUCACAAUGUCUUCCUGUCCUGUACUCACCCUUCUUGUGAUAAUGUGAAGUGACACAGAGUCCACAUGAGGAGAUGAAGUGACCAGGCAUUGUGAUGUAGUAUUAGGCCGUCACAUAACAACGACUCGAACCCAAGCACCUCGGCAGUCAAGCUGGUAACCAGAUGCUACAAAGUGACGAACGGGAGGGUAGCAUAUGCAGUGUGGAAACUCUGGACAGAGGGAUGAUUCAUGCCCUGGGGCAGAAUGAAGUGAGAUGGCAUGAAAUUUUGUGGCACCCCUCGGAAGGACACACAAAUUAAGACUCAUAAACUGUUGACUUCUGGGAUUUUCCAUUCAAUAUUUUUUUUUUAAGCUGCAAUUGUCAGUGGGUAACCAAAACCAUAGAAGGAGAAGUCUCAGGUAAGGAGGAACUAGUGUGCUGAAAUGAGAAUGGGCUGGAAGAGGAAUCAGCCUGGGGUCUCCGUUACACUUUGAAGGUGAUUCUUCUGAGUCACAUUUUCCUCCUCUCUAGAGUGGGGUCCAUACUUGCACCCAACCCGUAGCUUUUUGGGGAUAAUUAUAUGUUAGUGAUUAUAAUUAUAGCCAUCAGCUAUGGUUUGGAUCUUGAAUGUCCCUCAAAGACCUUAAAUGCUAAAGACUUGGUUGCCAGCCUGUGGCACUCUUGGGAGGGGGUGGAACCCUUAAGAGGUGAGGCCUACUGGGAGGAAGUUAGUCAUUGGGGGUGUGUCUCAGUCCCUUCCUCUGUCCUUGCUUCCCAGUCACCAUGGGGUAAACAGGCAUCCUCACCCACAUGCAUCCUCACCCACGCCUACCAUGAUGCGCUGAGUUGCCACAGGGCCAAAUAACCAUGGACUACAGUCUCCGAAACUGUAAGCGAAAGUAAAUCUUUCCUCUUUUAAUUUGAUUACCUCAGGCGUUUUGUUACAGUAAUGGGAAGCUGACUCAUACACUGACCUUGCCUUCUAAAGGAGGCACAGCCCUCAUCUGAUGCCUUUGAGACCUGUGCUCUUCUCUACAUCAUAUGCAAUAUGAUGCACAAGAAGGUUUGGAUUUGGAGAGCAUCUCCGAUUUCAGAUUUGCAUAUUAGGAUGUUCCGCUGGUAAAGUCUAUGCAAAUAUCAGGGAAAAACAAAACAACAACUCUUAACCAUAAUAUUACCCUCACAGCUCAUUUGGAAGAAAUAUUUAGGAAAAAUAAACAUAAUCUCUGCCCCCAAAUGGUCCACAAUCUGGUUAAAAAGACAAGACAUCCUUCUGCAUGGAGCUGGAUUAAAAAAGACUUCAUCUGUCUGGUAUAGUGCUGCCCACUUGUAACGGGCAGUCUCCAGAGUCUCAGGAGACUGAGGCAGGAGGAUCGCAAGUUCAAGGCCAGCCUCAGCAACUUAGCGGAGACUGUCUCAAAAGUUUAAAAAUUUAAAAAGAGGACUCUGGGGGUAAAGCAUCCCCUGGGUUCAAUCCCCAGCGCCCAAACAAAAGCAAAAAUCCCAAAACAAAACCAUAUCUAGGUGCUGGGGUUGUGGCUCAGUGGUAGAGCGCUCGCCUAGCAUGCAUGAGGCACUGGGUUCAAUCCUCAGCACCACAUAAAUGUAAAAUAAAGAUAUUGGGUCCACCUAAAAAUUAAAAAAAAACAAAAAAAACACACACACACAUCUAAGGAAACCAAUUCAAGACAAAAACACUCAAACUGAGCCGUUGGUUGAGCUCAGCCUUGAACCAUCAGGUGAUGGGGUUGCCGUGUCCCUCUGCAGCUGGGUCCUAUGGUGGUGGUCCCAUGUGCACCCUCCCCCCCCCCCCCCCCCCCCCCAACAGGCCCUGCAGUUCUGGGGAUGGAACCUGUUAGGUGCAGGACAGGCUGAGUAAGCUGUCUGCAGGGCAUGCCAAACAAAGUUAGCUGCAGGAUGACCUGCCCUCUCAAACCCUCUGUCUGGUUCUUUAUCAACUAUUUGCUUCAAGCCCAAAUGCCCAAGCCCCCGCUCAAGGCCGAACACGUAACCCCCCUUGCCCCCCACCCACCCAGCUUGGUUUUCCAUUUUUUAAAGACACUUUAAAUUCCGUAGUGAUCUGGAAUCCUCCGAACACUUGGAAAGAUAUCAUCGAGGUAAGCGUUGACUUAAAAGUAUCCAGGGCCUGUUGGGAUUUGGCCAGUUUAUCCCUAACAGCUCUUCCCUGGUCUGGGAUCCUACCUAGGACUCCCCCCCUCCUCCGCCACUGCCUCCAACCGGACAAUUCCCCUCUGUUUCCCACCACCAUCUCGGCAGUUCGGAGGGGCUCUGGGGGGGCAAUAGCAGGAAGACCCCCCAAACCGUAGCUAUUCACACGUUUGUGAAGGAGGUGACUGUCGUAGGGCCUGCUCAGUGAGCUGGAUCUAGAUGGGACUCAGAUGAAUCAUCACGGGGGGGGGGACACUUCUUAUAGAAAGCUCAGGUGCCUGGCCUCUCACCUGGGCCUCCCCUGCUGACACGACUCCCUCUGGGUAGCCUCACCCUGGUCAGCAAGGGGCCUCUUGUGCAUCCCUUGCACCUGGAGGGGGUGGGUAGCAGGGACCUGGGGGUGUCUGCUGUCUGCCCAGCUGGGACCCCUCCGCCUGGUUCCAAACUCUGUGGGAAAGCCCAGGGGGGGGACACCCACCAACCAUGUUAAAAUAAAACUCGGAAUUGAAAAGACCCUUUCUUUCUCUCUCUUUCGGUCUGAGUCACCAUAUAAAGCUCCCUCCUGGUGGACACAUAUAAUAUACCAGAGGCCAGUCCAGGGUGACCUGUCCUUUUGGCACCAGUGUGGAGGACCGUCCACCCCACUCUCAGAUCUGCGGUUGGCAAAGGGAGGGCCUCCCUCCCCCAGCAGAUCCCUACAAAAGGCCUGACGUUCCCUGGGGGUCCCCCAGAAAAUACUGGGGGGGGGUGGUCACUGGGAGAUGGCCGCCUUGGGAUCCUGGUUCACACACGGGCUCUACUUUCCUCUUGCAAGUGAGCCCUGAGCCUCGGUUCUGUCCUCUGUCAAAUGGG